UAAGGAAUAUUGGACAAUGGGCGGAAGCCUGAUCCAGCCAUGCCGCGUGAAGGAUGAAGGCGCUCAGCGUUGUAAACUUCUUUUGGAUGGGGACAAUAACUUCUAUUUAUGGAAGCUUGAGGGUACCAUCAGAAUAAGCACCGGCUAACUCCGUGCCAGCAGCCGCGGUAAUACGGAGGCGCAAGCGUUAUCCGGAAUCACUGGGUUUAAAGGUGCGUAGGCGGUCAGAUAAGUCAGUCGUGAAAUUCCUCGGCUUAACCGGGUGGACUGCGAUUGAUACUGUUUGACUUGAAUGAGGUUGAGGUAGGCGGAAUGUGGCAUGUAGCGGUGAAAUGCUUAGAUAUGCCAUAGAACACCGAUUGCGAAGGCAGCUUGCUGGGCCUUCAUUGACGCUGAGGCACGAAAGCGUGGGGAGCAAACAGGAUUAGAUACCCAUGUAGUCCCUGAGCGGCUGGCAAGGCGCAU
Molecule: ribosomal RNA, 465 nt
Filed under: uncultured bacterium
Lineage: Bacteria
Description: bacterial SSU rRNA
Rfam family: Bacterial small subunit ribosomal RNA
Source: RNAcentral